CUGGGACACAGAGGGGGCUCCGAGACCGGGAUUGAUUCGGGGUGGUGACCCUGUGUCUUCCUCCAGAAAAACACCUGAGGGACUAAGACACUGUAAUACUUCCUCAGUUUAAAGCAAAGAGUGACCAGCUGCCUCUAACAAACGGAAGGCAAGUACACAAGGACCAAGACAAUGUAAUAUUCCCCCGGUACAGAGCCAAAUGUGACCAGCUGCUUCAAACAAACAGCAGGAUGUGGUAAUCUCUGCCAAGGUGGGAAGUGGAUGCAAUUCCAAAAUGUCCUUGAACCAAUCGACUUGCUCAGCCAGAAGGCAGUGAAGAGUUUGCAAAGGGUUAGGAAUCACGUGCAGAGCACAGCGGGUAAGGAGGUCAGAUUUCACUCCCUUAAGGACCAUCCAGACAGGAACAGGAGAAGGCCAUUCACCUGCUCGAGCCUGCUCAUUCAUUCGUGGCUGAUGUACCAUUCCUCACGCUCACUUUUCUGCACGUAACAUGUUACCCUCAAUUCCCCGACUGAUCAAGAAUCUAUGUAUCUAUUCCAGCCUUAAACCUGCUCCCUGUCCACAUACACAGCUCUGUGUGGCAAGGAAUUCCAACGACACGCAACCCUCUGAGAGAAGAAACUCCUCCUCACCUCAAUCUUCAAUUUUGAACCUGAUGGUUGUUUGUUCCUGACAACAGUCAUCAACUCCAGAUCUGUUUUUGUUUAAAAUCCCAUUCCAAAUCCACGACCUGACACAGCGAGAUUCAAAAUUCACAUCUGCAGGGCAUACCCUGGGGAGCUGAAAACAUAGGAUUUUGCUUCCCCAUUAUUUCAGAAACUGAAAGUGAAUCUCAUCAAAAUUGAGACCGGAAUAAAUUGCCCCACACCAUUGAGCUAAACAUUGAUGUCGACACAAUCCAUACAGUGUGGAAAGAGACCAUUCAGCCCAUCCAGUUUGUCCCAAGCCAGUGAAGAG
This is a non-coding RNA of Chiloscyllium plagiosum (whitespotted bambooshark), 957 nucleotides long. NCBI's taxonomy places the organism in Eukaryota, Metazoa, Chordata, Chondrichthyes, Orectolobiformes, Hemiscylliidae. The record is from RefSeq and is a predicted model, not a curated record.